UACGUAGGGUGCAAGCGUUAAUCGGAAUUACUGGGCGUAAAGCGUGCGUAGGCGGCCAUGUAAGUCAGGAGUGAAAGUUUGCGGCUCAACCGUAAAAUUGCUUUUGAUACUGCAUGGCUGGAAUCAGGAUGAGGUCAGCGGAAUGUGGCAUGUAGCGGUGAAAUGCAUAGAUAUGCCAUAGAACACCAAUUGCGAAGGCAGCUGGCUAGACCUGUAUUGACGCUGAGGCACGAAAGCGUGGGGAGCGAACAGG
This 253-nucleotide ribosomal RNA is filed under the name uncultured bacterium. Its description in RNAcentral is "partial 16S ribosomal RNA". It matches the Rfam family "Bacterial small subunit ribosomal RNA", at positions 524 to 776 of the family's 1533-position model. The record is from RNAcentral.